This 101-nucleotide small nuclear RNA is filed under the name Suricata suricatta (meerkat). RNAcentral's name for it is "U2 spliceosomal RNA (ENSSSUG00005003237.1)". It matches the Rfam family "U2 spliceosomal RNA". Rfam says of the family: U2 is a small nuclear RNA (snRNA) component of the spliceosome (involved in pre-mRNA splicing). Complementary binding between U2 snRNA (in an area lying towards the 5' end but 3' to hairpin I) and the branchpoint sequence (BPS) of the intron results the bulging out of an unpaired adenosine, on the BPS, which initiates a nucleophilic attack at the intronic 5' splice site, thus starting the first of two transesterification reactions that mediate splicing. The record is from Rfam by way of RNAcentral. Lineage: Eukaryota; Metazoa; Chordata; Mammalia; Carnivora; Herpestidae.
AUUGCUUCUCGGCCUUUUGGCUUAGAUCAAGUGUAGGAUCUGUUCUUAUCAGCAACAUACUUGUAAUCCAAGGCAUUUGUAUACCAAAGCCAAUAUCCCCA